CCCUCACGUACUGCAGUUACCAGGCUAUAUGAAUAUCCUCUCACUUUCUCGAUCACCAGAUUCACCACUACUGCACCCAUUUUCUAUUAAUUUUCCAAACACAAUACUAAAUCAAAUGAACCCUAAUUUUGUUUUGCUGCUAGUAAUUAGUCAAAGAUAUGAAAAGUUCACAUACACAUACAACGUCAGGAACAUCUGAUUUGUUAGACUUGGUGCUUUUAAUUUGAGCAUCAAUUUCAUUUUAGGAGAGAAUAAAUGAGAAUGGUGGCUGAAGAUCAGUGCCCUAAAACAACAAAAUCAGUGGAUUUCAAGGGUUUACCCUGGAUGAAUUGGUCUUUGCUUAAAUGGUGGUUGUACUGAUUUUGGAGUCGAAUGAAAUGGAUGUUCUGAAGUUGAAUUUGAAUUGAAUUUCUCUAAUGAGAUAUAAUUAGCAACAACAUCGGAUUUUGGGUUUUUGGCAUCAAUUGAUACUGGAUCUUGAUUUGUUGCCUCCAUGGCCGUGAACAAGGGGCUCAGAGUAAUGGUAGAAAAAACGCAAAAGAAGAUGGCAGUGAAACAAAGUUGGGGUGCGUGUAUCGGCUGGUCGGAAUUCGCAAUGGUGAUGUGAAUGGAGACAGCAAUUGUGAUUAUUCUCUGUUUUCCUAUGGCAACAGUUGAAGUGAUUUUAGUGGUGCUUGUCUUGAUUAUUUACAAUGGGUUUUCCCUAGAUUUGGUCUUGGUUGAAUGGUGAUUGACAACAACAAAAAAUAGGGGAUAUGAUUGUGGGACCGUUUGAUAAUGGUCUUGCUGAUGCCGGGAUUGGUGACGCGGUGGUGUUCUCGGUGUCACAGAGAAAUAAGGAAAGGGAAGAGCUGGUGGUAUUUGGAUUAAUCAAGGCUAAAUGUUUUUAUUACAACAGUUGGAUUAUAAACCCACUUCAGGAAUACACUUGUAAACUCACUUAUUUAUAUUAUUUUUAUUUCAUAAAAUAAAAUAAAAAUAGACUUAAUUGGGUCAA
Papaver somniferum (opium poppy) is the source of this 997-nucleotide long non-coding RNA. RefSeq lists it as uncharacterized. The transcript has 2 exons. NCBI's taxonomy places the organism in Eukaryota, Viridiplantae, Streptophyta, Magnoliopsida, Ranunculales, Papaveraceae. The record is from RefSeq and is a predicted model, not a curated record.